CUUAGGAGAUCUGGCUUGCUUCACAGGUGCUUGGCAGUCAGCACUACCAUCCUUCAGUUUUGCAAUGACUCAUUUUGAUCUUGGCUUUUCUUUACCUGGGAAGCCCCCUCCCUCCUGUGUCAUGUCUGCCACAGAUGAAGCUGCCAAAGAGUGUGAGGUGUGAGAAAGGGCUGCCUUUCUGCUGCCUCCCUUGUGGGCUCCUUGAUUUAUAAGGGUCUUUCUUCGACUUGGUUCAAAGUAGCCCCAGCAACUGGAGAUACUACAUUUUAGCUGGCUUUUAAGGAGGAGAGGAAAGCCUAAAACUUGGGAUCUGAAGCUUGGUGCCUUUUAAAACCACGUGUCUCCUUUCUAGUUUGUUUUUCUCAUGGAGAUUGUCAGCUGGAUUUGUCCAUACUUAUUAAGCCUUGGUCUGCAGUGUGCUCUGCAGUGUGGUGAACAAAGGAAAGGAAAACUUUAGAUCUUCUCUGAAUGAUUUCAGAUCUAACAGCAAGCGAGGCAUGAUGCCACACAAACGAGCUUGGAGUCCCGACCAAGCACUGUGGGCUCAGAUAUCAUGCACCUUCAUCCACGGGCAGAACCAGAGUAUUCCCACAGACACUGGAACUCUCUCACAUUUCUGCUCUGAAACAACAGACCCAGGCAAUCCAGGGAAAUGGAUGCUUGGUGUGAUUUAAAAUCUUCAUAGUGAAGAGAAAAUGGAAUAGGAAUGAAAAUUUUUGAAGCAGUUACAUCCCUCAAAGAGAAUACUGGCCACACUAAUUCUGUAAUUUGUGAUAAAUUCAUUCAUUAUUAAAAAAUAACUAAAUAAUCUGCAUGUGUCUCUGCUGUGCCAGCAACAUCAUCUAUAUGGAUCACUGCUUUGCCUAAGAGAGGAAGACAUCCAAUUUAGAAAUCAGUCGGUUUGGGAGAGGGAAAUGGUUAUUUUGUCUCAGAGGCUGCAUUUUGCUAGCAUAAAAGAAGAAUCACUUUUUGAAAGCAUUUUCAUCUGUAUGAACUUGUCCACACAGGUAGGGCAAUUCUUCAUAACCAAAUAACUUCCUGAGAAAAUCACCUUGUAACAAGUUUUAAGAUGAAACCCUGACAAACCCAUCCUUCUUCCUUGGAAAUGUGCUUUGCAGUGUUGCAAAAAUCAUGAGGCCAAA
Molecule: long non-coding RNA, 1142 nt
Filed under: Dromaius novaehollandiae (emu)
Lineage: Eukaryota; Metazoa; Chordata; Aves; Casuariiformes; Dromaiidae
Description: lncRNA (ENSDNVG00000009665.1)
Source: RNAcentral